Molecule: ribosomal RNA, 497 nt
Filed under: uncultured bacterium
Lineage: Bacteria
Description: partial 16S ribosomal RNA
Rfam family: Bacterial small subunit ribosomal RNA
Source: RNAcentral
GAUGAACGCUGGCGGCGUGCCUAAUACAUGCAAGUCGAGCGAACAGACGAGGAGCUUUCUCCUCUGACGUUAGCGGCGGACGGGAGAGUCACAUGUGGAUAACCUACCUAUAAGACUGGGAUAAUUACGGGAAACCGGAGCUAAUAACGGAUAACAUGUUGAACCGCAUGGGGCAACAGUGAAAGACGGUCUUGGUGUGAGUUAUAGAUGGAUCCGCGUCGCAUUAGCUAGUUGGUAAGGUGAAGGCUUACCAAGGCAAGGAUGCGAAGCCGACCCCAGGGGGUGGUCGCCCACCCUGUAACUGAGACUCGUUCGCGACUCCUGCGGUAGGCCGCGGUCGGGACUCUUCCGCAAUGGGGGAGUGCCUGACGUAGCACCGCGGCGGGAGUGAUGAUGGUGUUCGGAUCGUUAAGCUCUGUUAUUAGUGGGGAACAAAUGUGUAAGUAACUGUGCACGUAUUGACGGUACCUGGUCAGUAAGCCCCGGCUAACUACGUG